CCCUCGCUUCUCCCGUGUGUUUCGUUUCCUCCGGUGCGCCCUCACGUCACUAGCGAAAUCUGCUCCCCCUGCCCAGCCCCCCACCCGCGCUGCACGUCGCGCGAGAUGCAAUCUGCUGCAGCCAGGCUGCUCGCCGCGGCCUUGCCUCGCCGCCUCCCGCCGCGCUGCCCGCGCGCCCACCUCCUCCUGCGCGGGCGCGGCCUCUGCUCCGCACCGCCCGGACAGCCGAAUCCACGCCCUGACCCAGGCCCCAGCCCCGACCCGGACCCACAGCUCGUCGGCGCGCUCUGCCGCGUGCUGAGCGACUUCCGCGGCCCGCGGCACGACCUCCGCGCAGCGCUCCACGGCUUCGUACCCCGCCUCACCCCUGCGGCGGCGGCCGCCGUCCUCCGCCGCUGCCGCAACCUGCCCGUGCCCUCGCUCCGGUUCUUCCUCUUCGCCGCCGCGGUGCCGGGCUUCACCCACCUCCCGGACUCGCUCCUCGUCCUUGCCGGCUCGCUCGCGGGCGCGCGGCUCUUCCCGCUGCUGCGCUCCCUGCUCUCCGACCUCCCGCGCUCCGCGCUCUCGCGGGACCUGUUCCCGCUGCUGUUCCGCGCGUACGCCCGUGCCGGCCUCCCCGACGACGCCAUCCGGGCUUUCUCUUCCAUGGAGGGGUUCGGGUUCCCGCCAACAGUCGCCGAUCUCCACUCCCUGCUCUUUGCGUUGUCGCAUAAUGGCCUGGUAGAGCAUGCCGAGGCCUUCUUUAGGGAUUCAGCAACACAGUUCGGUCUCUCGGCAAAAACCUACACCAUCCUCAUCUCUGGCUGGGCUGUGGUCACAAAGCCGGAGAAUGCGCGUAAGCUGUUUUGCGAAAUGAUUGAGAGAGGCAUUGUGCCUGAUGUGCCCGCAUAUAACGCAUUGAUUGAUGCCUUGUGUCGAGGAGGGGAUGUCGCUCUUGCACAUGUACAGCUAAAAGACAUGCAACACCGCCAUAAGCUUGUUCCUGAUGCUGCCACUUAUGGCCCGUUCCUUCGUUCUGCAUGCGCUUCAAAGGAUGCUCGUGCUGCUCUUCGUGUGCUAGAUAGGAUGCGUAUACAUGACCUGACACCAAAUGUAUUCACAUAUAAUGCUAUCAUCCAGUUACUGUGCGAGUUGGGAGAGGUUGAUGAGGCUUAUAAUAUCCUUAAUGAGAUGGCAACCCGUGGGCAAAUGCCUGAUAUUUGGAGCUACAACACUCUGCUUAAUGCACAUUGUAAGCUGAAAGAGGUGAACAAGGCGCUACGUCUUAUUUCAAGGAUGGAUGAAGACUCAUGUCUGCCUGACCGGCACUCUUACAACAUGAUUCUGAAAAUGUUGGUUUCUGUAGGAAGAGUUGAUAGGGCAAUUGAGGUUUGGGAUGGAAUGGAAAAACGUGGUUUCCAUCCUGGGGCAGCAACUUAUGCUGUCAUGAUUCAUGGGCUAUCUUGCAAGAAGGGUAGAGCAGAGGAGGCCUGCAGCUACUUUUUGAGGAUGGUGGAUGAGGGUAUCCCACCUUACCAGGCUACUUGUCAAGUGCUGAGGGAUAGGCUGCUCAGGCUUGGGCUGCGAGAUGAUCUCGGGAUGCUCACUGAUAGGAUGAGACAGAGCACUUCCUGCACAAUACAAGAUUUGGCAAGUAUCAUGUGCAGUAAGAGAGCAGAAGAAACUAGAAAUAUGAAUAGUGACCAUGAAUUCUCUGGUGUUGACCUUGAUGAGAGUCAGUGGAGGGAGAAAUGGAAAAUAGGAGACUGAAGAGUAAAAAUACUAACAUGGAUUCAGAGCCGUCAUCACAGAACCCAGCAGAUAUGACUGCAUUUGUGCAAAAUCUCCUUGGACAAAUGCAAACAAGGUUUGAGUCCAUGUCGCAGAACAUUGUGUCAAAGAUAGAUGAAAUGGGAACCAAGAUCGACGAGCUGGAGCAGAGCAUCAAUGAUCUGAAAGCUGAGAUGGGCACGGAGAUGCCUGCCAAGAAGCCUGAUGAGGCGAAGCCUGCUGAUUCUGCUUAACUUGGCUGUGAUCCAGAUACUGGCAAGUGAAAACUUGAACACUUUGUGACAGAUUUUUAGAGUUAUGAGUAAUUCAUUGUCUUCCAUGGACCAUAUCCACAGCAUGAGUGUACUGUCAGCUAUGUAGACUGGAGCCAUCUUAUGAAAUACUGUAUCCAUAGUUUGGGCACUCAGCUCUCUAUAUUUGUGCAAAUUCCUUGGUGUUUUCCCCCCUGUGACCACUCACCAACUAUUUGUUUGGUUUUCUAGUUGUUGAUGAUAAGGUGAUGUGCGAAAUGUAUUCCUUUUUA
Molecule: RNA transcript, 2293 nt
Organism: Panicum virgatum (switchgrass)
Lineage: Eukaryota; Viridiplantae; Streptophyta; Magnoliopsida; Poales; Poaceae
Gene name: pentatricopeptide repeat-containing protein At1g52640, mitochondrial-like
Exons: 5
Source: RefSeq, a predicted model, not a curated record